AUGGAAGCUCCUUCCUCUAACUCGUGUUACUCAUGCUGCAGUUCCUAGGCCCUGGACUAUGACGAGGAGCAUGUGUUGGUCGCCCCCGUGCUGGUAGUUUUGGAGCUAGCUGCUGAAGAAUGUUGGAUCUAUACCAAGGUAUCAAUGGCUCCUCCAGAUAUGCCAGCAAGGUGUUCGACAAAAGUCCAGGCAGGUUUUCACCAUGUCCCCUUUGCUACAGAUCUACAUUAGUGGCUUAUAAAAACAAUGUACCCAGGAAAGAAAAGUAC
Lolium perenne is the source of this 269-nucleotide non-coding RNA. NCBI's taxonomy places the organism in Eukaryota, Viridiplantae, Streptophyta, Magnoliopsida, Poales, Poaceae. The record is from RefSeq and is a predicted model, not a curated record.